Molecule: long non-coding RNA, 938 nt
Organism: Acomys russatus (golden spiny mouse)
Lineage: Eukaryota; Metazoa; Chordata; Mammalia; Rodentia; Muridae
Exons: 4
Source: RefSeq, a predicted model, not a curated record
CACACACACACACACACACACACACAGACACACACAGUGUCAGAAGUGUAAUUAGGAAUAUUUCAGGGGAAUUAAUAUGUAAGUAAAAAGUAGAUACAGAAAAUAAGAAAGACAUACCUAUUUUUCAACAAAUAGUGUAAUAAGCCAAGAGCACUUGUUAAUCAGAAGCAACGUAGGAUGGGGUCUGUAGCCCGCUUUCAUACUGAGUAUAUUAGUAGCUGUAGUUAAAAGAGCUGCUUAGUGUUUACUGGUAAUUAACAAAAGAGAAAGUGCAAUUUUUAAAUAUCCUCCUGAUUUACAGAUGGUUGGAAUCGUUGUAGGACUUACUCUUGGGUGAAGUAGUGAGCUCACAUCUUUAUCAUAGAUAACAUCUGAAGUUAGAUAGUAAAUCAAAAGUUUAUUAUUAUGUAGUUCUGCUUGACCCAUUAAAUUCUAAAUCUCUUCUAAAUCUUCUUUUCCCUGCUGUGGUGAACGUAGGACCCCUGAUUUAAUUAUUUAAUUUGGAACCAUUGUCCUGGGUAAGAAGCAUAGAUGAGGAUAAAGAGAGAAGAACAGACUCCUACAAGUUGUCCUCUGACCUCUACACAAUUCUGCUUUCUAAAGAAUCCUAUGAGAAAUUAAACAAACCAGUUGGUGAGUGAGUUAAGCAGGACUGGGAGAUAGCUCGGUCAGCCACUUGCCCUGAAACCUCAAGGAUCCAGUUUCCAUCACCAGGGCCCAGAAUGAGUACGGCUCCACAGUCCUGUUCUGGGGAAGAUGUUGCCUGUUUACUGCUAGAUCAGAGGGAAGAUACAUAUAAUGAAGACUGUAGCUGACUCACUCUGAGACGAAGCAGGUGCUGCUGCCUCUGUGGGUAAGAUACGUUCUGUCUACAGACUAAUCAAAGACACCUGUCAAUCAGGGCCGCUUUCUUUGCAGUGUGCAUUGAAUUAUUUAAG